UUCCAUCGAGCUAAGCUCCUCGUUGACGACUGGGCUGUUUGCAGUGUUCCCAACAUCCUCCAAUUGCUGUUGCUCAGUGGUAGGAUGAUCAAGCAGUUCGUUACUUGGUUCAUCCACCGCUACAGGUAAAGGAGCUUCAGUAACAGCCAAUUUCUCAAUUUCAGGAGCUGAAUCUCUCGUUUUCUCAGAAGAAUUAACCACUAUUUGUUCAACAUCUAGAGCUGAGGAUUUUGAUGUUUUAGCUUGAGCUUGAGCUUGAGCCUGAGCCUGAGCCAGAUUAGGAGUUUCUUGUACCUUCUCACUUUCUGUUUCUGUCCUUUCAGAAGGUGUUGCCAAAGCUGCAGAAACUUUUCUUAAAUUGCGCUUGACUUUCUCAAGUUCAUUUUGAGGCUGAUCCAGCACUGGCUCUAUGUGAGAUUGCUUGGCUCCACUGCUACAGGUAAAGGAGCUUCAGCUACAGCUAAUUUCUCACUCGUUUUCUCAGAAGAAUUAACCACUAUUUGUUCAACAUAUGGAGCUGAGGAUUUUGAUGUUUUAGCUUGAGCUUGAGCUUGAGCCUGAGCCAGAUUAGGAGUUUGUUGUACCUUCUCAGUUUCUGUUUCCGACCUUUCUAAAGGUGUUGCCAAAGAUGCAGAAACUUUUCUUAAAUUGCGCUUGACUU
Molecule: long non-coding RNA, 661 nt
Filed under: Nicotiana benthamiana
Lineage: Eukaryota; Viridiplantae; Streptophyta; Magnoliopsida; Solanales; Solanaceae
Description: long non-coding RNA (NBEN_LNC021750)
Source: RNAcentral